AUUGAAUUAACACUUACAUUUGAAACCCUAAAUCCUAAGCUAAACUGAUACCAGCCGCCCCACCCCAAUCCCCAAUCUCUUGACUCUCUCUCGGCUGAGACUGACCGGCGACCGGUAACUCGCACCCCGGCGCGCGCGACAGGAACAGCAGCAGAGCAGCACGGAGCCGCUGCCUUUAUCUAUCUUUUUCCCAAUCUCUCAUCUCUCUCUCGGCUGAGUCUGACCGGCGACCAGUGAUGCGCACCCGACGCGCGCAACAGCAGCAGCAGCAGAGCAGCACGGAGCGCACCCCGGCGCGCGCGACAGCAGCAGAGUAGCACAGAGCAGCAAGGAACCACCGGGAAUUUCCGGUAAGUUUGAUACUUUUCAACAACCCAACUGCAAGAAUGAGUCCCAAUGUCUCCGAUCCAUUUCGUUGAUCCUAAAUGUUCGUGUUUAUCGGGUAAUUUGCAUCUGUUAGUUGGGUGUAGUAGCUUAAUGUUGCUUUAGGCAAACCAGUGAGCUAAAUUCUUGGUGAAGAUCAUUAGUUCUUUUGUUGUACAUGGUGAUGUAAUGGGUAAAAUGUGUAUUAAGCUAUCAUAUGAGUUCCUUUGCUGUGUAUGGCUAUUUAGUUCUCGAAAUUUUAAUGGGACUUGCUCAAACAAGGUAAAAGCUGGACUAAUUCAUGCGUUGCUU
This 675-nucleotide long non-coding RNA is filed under the name Salvia miltiorrhiza (redroot sage). RNAcentral's name for it is "long non-coding RNA (SMIL_LNC009977)". Lineage: Eukaryota; Viridiplantae; Streptophyta; Magnoliopsida; Lamiales; Lamiaceae. The record is from RNAcentral.